RNAcentral lists this ribosomal RNA (450 nucleotides) under uncultured bacterium. RNAcentral describes it as "bacterial SSU rRNA". It matches the Rfam family "Bacterial small subunit ribosomal RNA", at positions 354 to 796 of the family's 1533-position model. The record is from RNAcentral.
GUGGGGAAUUUUGGACAAUGGGCGCAAGCCUGAUCCAGCAAUGCCGCGUGCAGGAAGAAGGCCUUCGGGUUGUAAACUGCUUUUGUACGGAACGAAACGGUCCUGGUUAAUACCCGGGGCUAAUGACGGUACCGUAAGAAUAAGCACCGGCUAACUACGUGCCAGCAGCCGCGGUAAUACGUAGGGUGCAAGCGUUAAUCGGAAUUACUGGGCGUAAAGCGUGCGCAGGCGGUGCUGUAAGACAGGCGUGAAAUCCCCGGGCUUAACCUGGGAAUUGCGCUUGUGACUGCAGUGCUGGAGUGCGGCAGAGGGGGAUGGAAUUCCGCGUGUAGCAGUGAAAUGCGUAGAUAUGCGGAGGAACACCGAUGGCGAAGGCAAUCCCCUGGGCCUGCACUGACGCUCAUGCACGAAAGCGUGGGGAGCAAACAGGAUUAGAAACCCCGGUAGUCC